Vulpes vulpes (red fox) is the source of this 1674-nucleotide long non-coding RNA. The record is from Ensembl. NCBI's taxonomy places the organism in Eukaryota, Metazoa, Chordata, Mammalia, Carnivora, Canidae.
AUGGCCCGGCCUGGGUCUCGGGGGAGGGAUCCUGCCUCCGUGCGAGCGCGAGGCCACGUGGCGGAGUCCGCAGGGACACGGGGGACGGGAAGAUGUGGAGGCUGCAGUGUGCUGGUUAUCACCCGCGCCAGGGCCGUGCCGGCUCACCCUUGUUUGCUCGGUGCGUCAGGAGGCGGGCAUGCCAUCUGGCACGGGCCGCGGCGCCCGUGGAGGGGAGCAGCACCCUGGCUUCCUGGGGGUGCUGGGGCUGCCGGCGAUCCCGCGCGCCUUCCUCCCAAGACCUCGUCCCCUCCUGCCCAGCCAAGGCUCCUUACCGCGUCCAGGGCUGAGCAGCGCCGGGGACGCCGGGUUGGUCCAUCGCGGUCCCCUGGACGCGGGCUCCUGUGUCGGGCUUUGGGGCGGCCUUGGGGUGGCUGCCCAGGCUCUAGCCCUCGGCCUGCGGGCUCCCCGCCAGGCGUCCGGGACGCGUGUAGCUGUCCCUUCACUCCCCACUCACCUUCCCAACCCCCUUUCCCACCAAGCCCCUGUGGCAGGUCGGUCCUCCGUGGUCUGCACAGGGCGUGCUUCUGCAGCUGCUCUGUCCCCAGGGUCCCUUUGGCCUCCUGCUGCUUACUGUCCCUUCUGGGGACAGCGCGCUGUGACCAGCUCCGUGCCGUGCUGUCCCGCCCUCCCCCUGCCCCACCUGAAUCCCUCAGCUUUGUGCUUUCAUGCGCACGUGUGGCUGUCGUCACCGUCCGUGGUGUUGAGGGGUGUGGGCCUCAGGGCAGCCGCUGCUGGGUGGGAUUUGGGGUUCUGCUGGGGGGGGUGGAGGGCGGAGCCGUCAGGGCUGGAGGGAAUCGGAAGGCGGCCGGCCUGCGGACCCCGGGUGUGUCAGAGCCAGGUGGUGCCCUCCAGGGCCGUGGGGGUGCGGUGGGGCCCCUGCGGGCGCGGCGGCAAGGCUCUGGGCGCCAGCCUGUCCUCUCUGCGCUUUUGUUGAGGGACAGUUGUGUGUCGCACGGCUCACCCUGCACAAGCGUGCGGCUUAGUGACUUAGGGCAGUGCUGGCAGUUGUGUGACUCUCCUCAUGCUCAUUUUACGGCAGGUGCCCCCUGCCCAUGGCAGCCCUCGGUGCCACGGCUCUGCGUCCUGUCUCCAGAACUUCGCCCCCAGCACCCACCUUGUGUGGUGGAACCGCACGGCCUGUGGUCCUUGGGCCUGGCAUCGGUAUCCUGCCCGCGCAGCUGUUUGUCUCAGCAGUUCUGUGCCUUCUUAGGGUCGAGUGGGUUCCGGAAGGUGUGCGCCCUGCAGCGUGUCCGCUCCCCGGUUGAUGGAUGUGGUAUAGUUUCUGAUUUGAGCUACGUGAUCGAUCAUCUCUGCCUCUGGUUGUGUGGUCAGCGGACACUGGUUCUGUGGGCAGUGCCCACCUGUUCCAAGCAGCUGCACCAUUCCACGUGCCCUGGCCGCGUGGGGCUGAGGCUCUCCGUGUGGGUCGGCCACUGCAGGUGUGGUGGAGAUGGCCUGUGCACGUUCUGGCCCCUGGCUUUAAAAACAGGCGGCUGCGGUGGUCCUGUGGGUACCGUGAUUAUGAUGGUAAUGGUACUCGGCAGGCUGUUGACUGGGAGCGGCUCCUCUGGGGCUCUUGCACUUCUGCUCACCCCCUUGGGACAGGCACACCGGAUGCUGGGACCUCCCUAG